UUUCUUUUAAGAUCUAGAGGAAGAAGAAGAAGAAGCAAGCAAGCAAUGGCAGCCAUGGGAUCAGGACCAGAUCACCUCUUCAACCUCCGAAACACCUUUUUUUUUUAAACAAUAUAUAUACAAAAGUAAAAAUAUUUAAUAAAAAAUUUAAAAUUGAAAUUAUGAAAAUAUUAAAAUAUAUCUAUUAUAUUUUAAUUAAUAUUAUAAAAAUUUAUAAUAAAAACAAUUUCAAUAAAUUUUCAAAAUUUAAAAUUAUAAAUUUUUAAAUAUAAAUUUUAUAUUUAUUAUAAUUUUAUGAUUUUUGAUAUUUUUAUAAUUAUAUUAAAUGUAAAUAUUGUUAAUUUAUUAUUUGAUUGUUAUCGUAUUUUGUAGUUAACCGGUCAUAAGUCACCCGCAAACGCACCAAUUUUUUACCGCAGUACCAGUCGUACAAAUCUCUUAAAAUCGCUAGAAACCGCAACCGCCCGCAUCCACAAACUCCCGCAACCACAACCGCAACCGCUGCGUUUGAACCAGUCAGGCCCUAAAAAGGACAUCAACAUUCAGCAUCACUUUGAAAAACUCAUGCGACGUAUGUAUUUAUAGUUCGAUUAUUUAAAACAAGUAAAUUAUAUAAUAAAAUUAGUAUUUAUGUUAUUGAAUAUUUUCAUUUUGAGUUUCUUAAACCGAUGAAAAUGCUCUUAUCAAACCAGUCUCAAACUUAAACCACUAAAAAUUGACUUGUUACUUUAUACGAAAAAAUGUUUAAGCCAGUGGCGGAGCACUUGCUUUGUGAGGGUGGUCAGUGACCCACAUGGAUUUUCAUAAAAACAAGUUUUAUUUGUAUUUUGAAAAGAAAACAACUGAUAAAUGUUACUAAUUUAACACAUUGACCCAUAUAACAUAUGUUUGUUAUGUAAUGACUGACCCCCUGUGAAUUGAUUAGCUGGCUCAGCCACUGGUUUAAGCUACUGAUCGACAAAAGAUAGACGGUCCGAAGCUGAUCAUAUCACUAAACUAUAGGCCCACGAGUUAUAAAAGAAACUGAACCGUUAUUUUACCCACAUGGGACCCAAAUCAAAACUAGGGUGUUGAUUGUACUAUUUAAAACAAAUAGGCUUUUAUUUAUAAGAUUUAUAAUUUAAGGGGGUUAAAAUGUUAUUAACCCGUUUACUUAAGUUUGUUUUAAUUUUCUCCCAUUCUCUGUUUCUUUUGAGAUCUACAGGAAGAAGAAGAAGGAGCAAGCAAGCAAUGGCAGGGAUGGGAUCAGGACCAGAUCACCUCUUCAACCUCCGAAACACCUUUUAUCUGGGAGCUUACCAAACGGCGAUCAACAACAGCGAGAUCCCUAACCUCUCCCCGGAGGACGCCGUGGAACGCGACUGUCUCGUCUUCCGCUCGUACAUAGCCCUCGGUAGCUAUCAG
RNAcentral lists this long non-coding RNA (1404 nucleotides) under Brassica rapa (field mustard). RNAcentral describes it as "long non-coding RNA (BRAP_LNC001846)". Lineage: Eukaryota; Viridiplantae; Streptophyta; Magnoliopsida; Brassicales; Brassicaceae. The record is from RNAcentral.